Molecule: long non-coding RNA, 1697 nt
Filed under: Oncorhynchus mykiss (rainbow trout)
Lineage: Eukaryota; Metazoa; Chordata; Actinopteri; Salmoniformes; Salmonidae
Description: lncRNA (ENSOMYG00000066661.1)
Source: RNAcentral
CAGUCAGGUGAAAUCCAAAGAUUAGGGCCGAAUGAAUUUCUUUCAUUUGGACUGAUUUCCUUAAAUGAACUGUAACUCAGUAAAAUCUUUGACAAUUUUUCUUUGCAUUGUUGUGUCUAUAUUGUUUUUCAGUAUAUUUCAAAUUUUUGACGGAAUGACAGUAUUUAAUGGUAUUUGAUGUUUCUGAAUAACAAAAGUUGUAAACAUGUUUUAUAAGUAAUGCGCGACAAUAGAAUGGUACGAAAUGAAUUCCAGGGUUUCAUUAAAGAAUGUAAGAGGAGUGAUGCGCCCCCUUGUGGACUGGAGGAGCUAAACUAUAAUUCACAGACCUGAGAACAAAGAAGGAGGGGGGCACUGUACCAAAUGAACUCCAAUGAUCCAGAGAGGUGUCGAUCUAUACAGGGUCCUGGUCUGGAAACAGCUCCAUCUCUACUACUAUAUACAGGGUCCUGGUCUGGUCACAGCUCCAUCUCUACUACUAUAUACAGGGUCCUGGUCUGGUCACAGCUCCAUCUCUACUACUAUAUACAGGGUCCUGGUCUGGUCACAGCUCCAUCUCUACUACUAUAUACAGGGUCCUGGUCUGGUCACAGCUCCAUCUCUACUACUAUAUACAGGGUCCUGGUCUGGUCUGGUCACAGCUCCAUCUCUACUACUAUAUACAGGGUCCUGGUCUGGUCACAGCUCCAUCUCUACUACUAUAUACAGGGUCCUGGUCUGGUCACAGCUCCAUCUCUACUACUAUAUACAGGGUCCUGGUCUGGUCACAACUCCAUCUCUACUACUAUAUACAGGGUCCUGGUCUGGUCACAGCUCCAUCUCUACUACUAUAUACAGGGUCCUGGUCUGGUCUGGUCACAGCUCCAUCUCUACUACUAUAUACAGGGUCCUGGUCUGGUCACAGCUCCAUCUCUACUACUAUAUACAGGGUCCUGGUCUGGUCACAGCUCCAUCUCUACUACUAUAUACAGGGUCCUGGUCUGGUCACAGCUCCAUCUCUACUACUAUAUACAGGGUCCUGGUCUGGUCUGGUCACAGCUCCAUCUCUACUACUAUAUACAGGGUCCUGGUCUGGUCACAGCUCCAUCUCUACUACUAUAUACAGGGUCCUGGUCUGGUCACAGCUCCAUCUCUACUACUAUAUACAGGGUCCUGGUCUGGUCUGGUCACAGCUCCAUCUCUACUACUAUAUACAGGGUCCUGGUCUGGUCUGGUCACAGCUCCAUCUCUACUACUAUAUACAGGGUCCUGGUCUGGUCACAGCUCCAUCUCUACUACUAUAUACAGGGUCCUGGUCUGGUCUGGUCACAGCUCCAUCUCUACUACUAUAUACAGGGUCCUGGUCUGGUCACAGCUCCAUCUCUACUACUAUAUACAGGGUCCUGGUCUGGUCACAGCUCCAUCUCUACUACUAUAUACAGGGUCCUGGUCUGGUCACAGCUCCAUCUCUACUACUAUAUACAGGGUCCUGGUCUGGUCACAGCUCCAUCUCUACUACUAUAUACAGGGUCCUGGUCUGGUCUGGUCACAGCUCCAUCUCUACUACUAUAUACAGGGUCCUGGUCUGGUCACAGCUCCAUCUCUACUACUAUAUAAAGGGUCCACGUGUUCCUCUCUGUUCAGUGCUCCAGUAGAAAUGUCAUUUUCUACGGGGGGGGGGGGGGGCGGGGUUAGAUUAUAUCGUAAUUACAUUUCAG